Molecule: ribosomal RNA, 771 nt
Filed under: uncultured eukaryote
Lineage: Eukaryota
Description: SSU rRNA
Rfam family: Eukaryotic small subunit ribosomal RNA
Source: RNAcentral
GGCGAUGGAGUUGCUGCGGUAAGAUCGUCGUUGGAUUUCUGUUGAGGUCGAACAGUGCCGCCCUAUGGGUGCGCAACUGGCUCGGCUUCGGCAUCUUCUUGGAGAGCGCAUCUGCACUUAACUGUGUGGAUCGUACUUCAAGUCAGUUACUUUGAGGAAUUGUGAGUUUUUCAAGCAGGCUUACGCCGUUGAAUCCGUUAGCAUGGAAUAAUAGAAUAGGACCUCGGUUCUAUUUCGUUGGUUUUGAGAGCUGGAGCAGCGAUUGAUAGGGGCGGAUGGGAGCGUCCGAACUUUACUGUCAGAGGUGAAAUUCUUAGAUCGGUCAAAGGCGAACUACUGCGAACGCAUUCGCCAAGAAUGUUUUCUUUAAUCAAGAACGAAAGUUAGGGGAUCGAAGACGAUCAGAUACCGUCCUAGUCUUAACCAUAAACGUUACUGACUAGAGAUUGGAGGUUGUGAUUCACAAACUCCAUCAGCACCUCUAUGUGUAAACAAAAUCUUUGAGUUCUGGGGGGAGUAUGGUCGCAAGACUGAAACUUAAAGGAAUUGGCGGAAGGGCACCACCAGGAGUGGAACCUGCGGCUUAAUUUGACUCAACACGGGGAAACUUACCAGAUCAAGACAUAGUAAGGAUUGGCAGAUUGAGAGUUCGCUCUCGAUUCUAUGGGUGGUGGUGCAUGGCCGUUCUUAGUUGGUGGAGUGAUUUGUCUGGUUAAUUUCGUUAACGAGCGAGACCUUAACUUGUUGAAUAUUGAAUCGUAACCUCGGUUA